This 117-nucleotide ribosomal RNA is filed under the name Anolis carolinensis (green anole). Lineage: Eukaryota; Metazoa; Chordata; Lepidosauria; Squamata; Anolidae. The record is from RNAcentral.
UUUGAGAAAUACUGCACUAAAGGCACCAGAUCCCAUCUGACCUUGGAAGCUAAGCAGGAUCAGCUCUGCUUAGUACUUGGAUGGGGGACUGCCAAGGAACACAGGGUGUUGUCGGCU